UGCCCAGCUACUCCUAUCGCUACCUCCUCGCGGUACUGGCCGGGGUACGAGUAACCUUAGGGAAGAUCGAGUAACCAACCCCCGGUGGGAACUUUGGUCGUAUGCUGACAGGGAAGG
RNAcentral lists this ribozyme (117 nucleotides) under Aedes aegypti (yellow fever mosquito). RNAcentral describes it as "drz-agam-1 ribozyme". It matches the Rfam family "drz-agam-1 ribozyme". The record is from Rfam by way of RNAcentral. Lineage: Eukaryota; Metazoa; Arthropoda; Insecta; Diptera; Culicidae.